This 495-nucleotide ribosomal RNA is filed under the name uncultured bacterium. RNAcentral's name for it is "partial 16S ribosomal RNA". It matches the Rfam family "Bacterial small subunit ribosomal RNA", at positions 28 to 507 of the family's 1533-position model. The record is from RNAcentral.
GACGAACGCUGGCGGCGUGCCUAAUACAUGCAAGUAGAACGCUGAAGGAGGAGCUUGCUCUUCUGGAUGAUUUGCGAACGGGUGAGUAACGCGUAGGUAACCUGCCUGUUAGCGGGGGAUAACUAUUGGAAACGAUAGCUAAUACCGCAUAACAGUAUAUGUUGCAUGACAUUUUCUUAAAAGGUGCAAUUUCAUCACUACCAGAUGGACCUGCGUUGUGUUAGCUAAUUGGUGGGGUAACGGCUCACCAAGGCGACGAUACAUAGUCGACCUGGGAGGGGGGUCGGCCACACUGGGAAUGGGACCAGGCCCAAGCUCCUAAGGGAGGCAGCAGGAGGGGAUUUUCGGCCAUGGACGGAAGUCUGACCGAGGAACGCCGCGUGAGUGAAGGAGGUUUUCGGAUCGUAAAGCUCUGUUGUAAGAGAAGAAAGAGUGUGAGAGUGGAAAGUUCACACUGUGACGGUAUCUUACCAGAAAGGGACGGCUAACUACGUG